GGCAGUGUGGUGUAGUGGUUUGACCAUUGGACUAUGACACUGGAGCCCAGGGUUCAAAUCCCAGCUAGGCCA
RNAcentral lists this transfer RNA (72 nucleotides) under Phrynosoma platyrhinos (Desert horned lizard). Its description in RNAcentral is "tRNA-OTHER". Lineage: Eukaryota; Metazoa; Chordata; Lepidosauria; Squamata; Phrynosomatidae. The record is from RNAcentral.